Molecule: long non-coding RNA, 474 nt
Organism: Colius striatus (speckled mousebird)
Lineage: Eukaryota; Metazoa; Chordata; Aves; Coliiformes; Coliidae
Exons: 2
Source: RefSeq, a predicted model, not a curated record
CGAGGCGGCGGCGGGCACCGGAGCGGCCGCGAACGGCAGUGCCUGGUGGGCCCGGGAGCGAGCCGCAGCUGGCAGGGAGCGAAAACACUCCCCGGUCACAAGGGGCCAUUGUUCCCCUGGCACAGGCGAUGGCAGACGGGCACUGGGGGUGCCGGUCGCUUCCCGCCUCGGCAAGAGGAGGGGCGGCUGGCAGGCUGCCCAGGUUGUGCUGGAGGCAGCAGAGGACUGGGGAAAAGGGAAGAAGGCGCUCAGCAGGCGGCCAGGAGGCAGUGAGUGAAGGGCAAAAUGGAAACGCAAUGAAUGGCACCGCUGCCCUUAAACUCCACCUUCCCCUGCCCGCCGCCGGCCGCUGCCGGGCAGCCCCCCCACCGUCACCCUUAGCACACUGCAGCCGAGGGGGCAGCCACGGUGGAAGCAUUUGAAAAGCAAACUCUGUGUCACGUGGGGAAGGUAAAUAAACAGUAUGCUGAAAAA